This 182-nucleotide small RNA is filed under the name Chrysemys picta bellii (western painted turtle). RNAcentral describes it as "TUC338 (ENSCPBG00000013636.1)". The record is from RNAcentral. Lineage: Eukaryota; Metazoa; Chordata; Testudines; Emydidae.
CUGAUGGCUCCGUUAAGUGAACUCCUCUAUUUUAUACACACAGCAGGUACAGCAAAGGCAACAGCAGUACAAGCUUCCCCCAUAUUGCCCCAUGUCAAGUGCCUCAGUCAUGACGUGAAGCGAGGCCCCUCUGGGAAUGGGAAGACAGAUCAGUCUCCAUCCCCGUUCUGGCUUUGAUCCCA